AAGGAUCAUUACAGAGUUCAUGCCCUCACGGGUAGACCUCCCACCCUUGAAUAUAUACCUUUGUUGCUUUGGCGGGCCGCUUCGGCUACUGGCUUCGGCUGGUGAGUGCCCGCCAGAGGACCCAAAACUCUGAAUUAUAGUGUCGUCUGAGUACUAUAUAAUAGUUAAAACUUUCAACAACGGAUCUCUUGGUUCUG
Molecule: unclassified non-coding RNA, 197 nt
Filed under: uncultured fungus
Lineage: Eukaryota; Fungi
Description: partial contains 18S rRNA, ITS1, 5.8S rRNA, ITS2 and 28S rRNA
Source: RNAcentral